ACGCGCGUUUUAGGGUCAAUCGGACGUUUUAACGUAUUGCACUACUCAGUGCUAUCGUGUUUUUAGUCUUGCGAGGAUUUGAGUGAAAGCGCUCAGCUUUUUGAAUUUUUCGUGGACAGGCCGGGGUAAGCAGAAAAUCCAUCCACCAUGGACGCGAUUAAGAAGAAGAUGCAGGCGAUGAAGCUGGAGAAGGAUAAUGCCGCCGACAAAGCCGAUACCUGCGAGAACCAGGCCAAGGAGGCCAACAUGCGCGCCGACAAGAUCAUGGAGGAGGUCGCUGACCUGACCAAGCGUCUGGCCCAGGUCACCGAGGACCACGAGAAGUUCAAGAACUCGCUCGAGCAGGCCAACAAGGACCUCGAGGAGAAGGAGAAGAACCUGACCCAGACGGAGGCCAACGUUGCCUCGCUGACCCGCAAGGUCCAGCAGGUUGAGGAGGAUCUGGAAAAGUCGGAGGAGCGCUCGGGCGCCGCCCUGUCCAAGCUGCUGGAGGCCACCCAGUCCGCUGAUGAGAACAACCGUAUGUGCAAGGUGUUGGAGAACCGUUCCCAGCAGGAUGAGGAGCGCAUGGACCAGCUGAGCAACCAGCUCAAGGAAGCCCGUAUGCUCGCUGAGGACGCCGAUACCAAGUCUGAUGAAGUGUCCCGCAAGCUGGCCUUCGUUGAAGACGAGCUGGAAGCCGCUGAGGACCGUGUCAAGUCCGGUGAGGCCAAGAUCAUGGAGCUGGAGGAGGAGUUGAAGGUCGUCGGUAACUCGCUCAAGUCCCUGGAGGUCUCGGAAGAUAAGGCCAACCAGAGAGUGGAGGAGUUCAAGCGCCAGCUCAAGUCCCUCACCAUCAAGCUGAAGGAGGCCGAGACCCGCGCCGAGAACGCCGAGAAGAACGUCAAGAAGCUCCAGAAGGAAGUCGACAGACUAGAAGACAAACUGAUGAGCGAGAAGGACAAGUACAAAGCCAUCUGCGACGACCUGGAUUCCACCUUCGCCGAACUUACCGGAUACUAAUCGCUCAAGACGGCUACUACCGCUAUCAUUACUAUUGUUGCUACUACUUCUACUACUACUACUACUACUACCAACCACCACCACCACAACCGCCACCAAAACCAGCUUGCCUUAGACCAAAGAUCUGCUCAAAUCCAAAAGGAAGAAGAAGAAGACCCGCGCCGGAGUUCCGGUUCGUUCGCAAGUUCCAAUCUCACUUUCUCAUUCUCUCGAUCUCAAUCCGUUCGUGUUUUUCCCGUUUUGCUCCGCGGGUCCGCUCUCCACCUUGUGUGGGACCGAGAGCGCACGCAUCACCCUGUAUCUGCUCCCAUUUUGAACGUUUUUUGUUUUUAAAAAUGUGAUCUUUAAUUGAGAUUCGAGAAUCAGAUGUUGUAAACUCUAGCAGAUGAAGACGACGAAGAAAUGGUUGUUUUAGACGAAUUGGGCGUCAACAAGGACAGAUACAAGUCCCUGGCCGACGAGAUGGACUCCACCUUUGCCGAGUUGGCCGGAUACUAAGCAUCGACCUAUUUAUAUACGUACAUAUGUAUUGAUUUAGAACUUUUCCUCAACGAGUCCCGCACGCGCCCCUCGAGAAAAGAAAAACAGGAAACGCACCACAACCAGCUCGAUGCGAACGAAAGAGAAAGAGAGAGAGCAAGAAGAAGAAUUAAACGUCACGAACUCCAAAGAUUCGAUUGUUUGAAGAAGAAGAAGAAGUGGUAGAAGAAGAAGAAACAAAACUUAGCUUAAAAUUCAUGUUUUAUUAGUAGGAAUUGUAUUAGGACCUAAUUUGUGAAAUCAUUUGAUUAGUGAGUAAGAAGAAGAUCAUCAUUCUGUUUUUACUAGAAGAAGAAAACGAUUCGUAUUGUUGUUGUUGCAGUCAAGAGAACACAGUUCAUGAUCAAAAGCAUCGAGAAGCGCUCUCAAAGCGCUAUUUAUUAUAGGUUAUAUUAUAACAAAAACAAAGCACUAGCCCUAUCGUUGGAAGAUUUUUAAGAAAAUAAUAACAACUGACAUAGUCAAAGAACGGACACAAACUUACGCAGUUUAAGAUUAAAACAAAUGUGUUGGUGUUGAAAUUCGCGUGUAACCCAGAACGCAAUCGUCGUUGGAAAGGAAAAUCAAGAACAACCAAGAAAAAAUGUAUUAUUACUAUCUUUUAAUAAAAAAAAGUCUUACACUACUGUUACAACAAAAGCCCAGCCAAAAGUCGAUGGAAAUCUCUGUGCUCCGGAUUCGGCUCGCGUGCAGGUGUUUUGCAUGCGACGCUCGAGUUGAUACUCUUUAGAGGGGAAGAAAAAACACUCUCUUUUUUUUUCUACUUUUCUAGAAGAAAUUGAAUGGAAACCUAUUUAUUGUAAUGCUAAGUUUUGAUUUAUUUUGUAUAAUAAAAGUCAAAUUAAUUCU
This is an RNA transcript of Culex quinquefasciatus (southern house mosquito), 2391 nucleotides long. It is a transcript of the gene named tropomyosin-1, with no coding region annotated. The transcript has 5 exons. The record is from RefSeq and is a predicted model, not a curated record. Lineage: Eukaryota; Metazoa; Arthropoda; Insecta; Diptera; Culicidae.